RNAcentral lists this long non-coding RNA (935 nucleotides) under Homo sapiens (human). RNAcentral describes it as "non-protein coding lnc-C12orf66-2:8". Lineage: Eukaryota; Metazoa; Chordata; Mammalia; Primates; Hominidae. The record is from RNAcentral.
GCCACAGGGGAGGAGCCAAGAUGGCCAAAUAGGAACAGCUCCGGUCUACAGCUCCCAGCGUGAGCGACGCAGAAGACGGGUGAUUUCUGCAUUUCCAUCUGAGACCAGUGACCUUUUCUAUUUCAUAGUAAACAAACUUCAUGAGUACUUGCCGGAGUCUAGGGAUAAGAAUGCACUACAAAAUCAAAGCCAAAGGGUUGAUGAGCUGGUGGCAUGCAUUGAAAUUAUACAGACCCUAGUAUUGAUGUUCAGAGAAACAGAAACCGAGUCAUCACGCCUGAACACAUUGGCAGCUAAGAAUUACAGAAGCUUAUUCUGGAGUAUACAAAUACUGCUACAGCACUUUUAUAUGAGAUACUUCUGGUCUUUCAGCAGGGAAAUCUCGGAUUGGGAUCCACAAAGUUUGCUAUUAGCUGGAUAAUGUCCUUUCUACAAAGCUGUCCUCCCAUCAUUACUUUUGUGGCCAGUAUUGUGAAACAAGUGGUGAGGGGUCUUUCAGCUUCAUUUCAGCUGCUAAGUCCCUGCCAAGCAGUUCUGUUGUACCAGCAAUUUUACAUCCUCAAGAGCUGUCUGCGGCACAGCAGGACUCUAGCUGAGUAUAUUAGGAAUAACUACAGAGAAGAAUUCAGGUACUUUAUUCACAUGCCAGCCUUGCAGAAAAGGCUCCCAUUGUGUUACCCCAUCACUCAACCUACCAUUCAACUUUUUCAUGAAGUUCUGAAAUUGGUUGAAUAGAAACAAACAAUGUACGCAAUGUUAAUAAGAGUAUAAAAUGUUAAUCAAGAGUCAACUUGAUAUUCACGAGAAACAUUUUUUUAUUUGUUUAAUAUCUGGCUAUCUCUGAGUCCUAUAAACAAAGAUUUUAAUUGAAUGUUCCAUCAAUACCUCUCUAUGAGAAGUUUAAAAUUUUAAAAAAUAAAUUUGAUUUAUUAUAA